RNAcentral lists this transfer RNA (73 nucleotides) under Caudoviricetes sp. Its description in RNAcentral is "tRNA-Met". It matches the Rfam family "tRNA". Rfam says of the family: Transfer RNA (tRNA) molecules are approximately 80 nucleotides in length. Their secondary structure includes four short double-helical elements and three loops (D, anti-codon, and T loops). Lineage: Duplodnaviria; Heunggongvirae; Uroviricota; Caudoviricetes. The record is from RNAcentral.
GCGGAGUGGAGCAGUUUGGUAGCUCGUCGGGUUCAUACCCCGGAGGUCGUAGGUUCAAAUCCUACCUCUCGCA